Molecule: ribosomal RNA, 253 nt
Filed under: uncultured bacterium
Lineage: Bacteria
Description: partial 16S ribosomal RNA
Rfam family: Bacterial small subunit ribosomal RNA
Source: RNAcentral
UACGGAGGGUGCAAGCGUUAUCCGGAUUCACUGGGUUUAAAGGGUGCGUAGGAGGGCAGGUAAGUCAGUGGUGAAAUCUCCAAGCUUAACUUGGAAACUGCCGUUGAUACUAUCUGUCUUGAAUAUUGUGGAGGUGAGCGGAAUACGUCAUGUAGCGGUGAAAUGCUUAGAUAUGACAUAGAACACCAAUUGCGAAGGCAGCUCACUACUCAAUCAUUGACUCUGAGGCACGAAAGCGUGGGGAUCAAACAGG